GACGAACGCUGGCGGCGUGCUUAACACAUGCAAGUCGAACGAACUCGAGACUUCGGUCUCAAUGAGUGAGUGGCGAACGGGUGCGUAACACGUGAGAAACCUGCCCCGAAGAUCGGGAUAACCCAAGGAAACUCGGGCUAAUACCGAAUACCUUCCGACCACCGCAUGGUGGACGGAAGAAAUGUUCAGGCGCUUUGGGAGGGUCUCGCGGCCUAUCAGCUUGUUGGUGAGGUAAUGGCUCACCAAGGCAUCGACGGGUAGCUGGUCUGAGAGGACGAUCAGCCACACUGGGACUGAGACACGGCCCAGACUCCUACGGGAGGCAGCAGUGGGGAAUCUUGCGCAAUGGGCGAAAGCCUGACGCAGCAACGCCGCGUGAGGGAAGACGGCUCUCGGGUUGUAAACCUCUUUCAGCAGGGACGAAAUUGACGGUACCUGCAGAAGAAGCGCCGGCCAACUACG
This 462-nucleotide ribosomal RNA is filed under the name uncultured Acidimicrobiales bacterium. Its description in RNAcentral is "bacterial SSU rRNA". It matches the Rfam family "Bacterial small subunit ribosomal RNA", at positions 28 to 505 of the family's 1533-position model. Lineage: Bacteria; Bacillati; Actinomycetota; Acidimicrobiia; Acidimicrobiales. The record is from RNAcentral.